RNAcentral lists this non-coding RNA (100 nucleotides) under Clostridium sp. Its description in RNAcentral is "Guanine sequence". It matches the Rfam family "Purine riboswitch aptamer". From Rfam's summary of the family: Riboswitches are metabolite binding domains within certain messenger RNAs that serve as precision sensors for their corresponding targets. Allosteric rearrangement of mRNA structure is mediated by ligand binding, and this results in modulation of gene expression. Lineage: Bacteria; Bacillati; Bacillota; Clostridia; Eubacteriales; Clostridiaceae. The record is from RNAcentral. RNAcentral also lists the same sequence under 1 other name.
UAUGUAGUUGAAGCGACUAUUCGUAUAAUUACCCAAAUUGGUGGGAAGUCUCUACGCUGUGGCCCGUAAAGCCAGCACUACGAAUAAAUCUUAACUUCUU